GGCUCAGGAUGAACGCUGGCGGCGUGCUUAACACAUGCAAGUCGAACGAAGCAGUUUAUUACGAUCCCUUCGGGGUGACGAUUUACUGACUGAGUGGCGGACGGGUGAGUAACGCGUGGGUAACCUGCCUUGUACAGGGGGACAACAGUUGGAAACGACUGCUAAUACCGCAUAAGCGCACAGCUUCGCAUGAAGCAGUGUGAAAAGUAUUUUCGGUACAAGAUGGACCCGCGUCUGAUUAGCUAGUUGGUGAGGUAACGGCCCACCAAGGCGACGAUCAGUAGCCGACCUGAGAGGGUGACCGGCCACAUUGGGACUGAGACACGGCCCAAACUCCUACGGGAGGCAGCAGUGGGGAAUAUUGCACAAUGGGCGAAAGCCUGAUGCAGCGACGCCGCGUGAGCGAAGAAGUAUUUCGGUAUGUAAAGCUCUAUCAGCAGGGAAGAUAAUGACGGUACCUGACUAAGAAGCACCGGCUAAAUACGUGCCAGCAGCCGCGGUAAUACGUAUGGUGCAAGCGUUAUCCGGAUUUACUGGGUGUAAAGGGAGCGUAGGCGGUUUUACAAGUCUGAUGUGAAAGCCCGGGGCUCAACUCCGGUAUUGCAUUGGAAACUGUAGAACUAGAGUGUCGGAGGGGUAAGUGGAAUUCCUAGUGUAGCGGUGAAAUGCGUAGAUAUUAGGAGGAACACCAGUGGCGAAGGCGGCUUAC
This 709-nucleotide ribosomal RNA is filed under the name Pseudobutyrivibrio sp. P50. RNAcentral describes it as "bacterial SSU rRNA". It matches the Rfam family "Bacterial small subunit ribosomal RNA", at positions 21 to 729 of the family's 1533-position model. Lineage: Bacteria; Bacillati; Bacillota; Clostridia; Lachnospirales; Lachnospiraceae. The record is from RNAcentral.